AUGAGCCUGAUUUACAACAGUUUGUCCCUGUUCUCAGCUCCCAUGGAAGGUGAUACUUUUCCUGCCACUCCCAGUGGACAUCACUGUGGGCAGUUCCUGCUGUGGAUGGGAGUGAUGGACCUCUCAAUCAAUGACCUGCAUCAAUAUUUUCCUUCUGCCUGCACGGUGUGGCAGGAAAGGAGCCUGUGCUUGGCUCCAGUCCACCAGCUGGACCAUAAAAUACUUGCAGAGGGAGGAUCCUGUUUCAGCAACCCCUUAGGCUGGAAUUUGUAAGUGAAAUUUGCCCUAAGAAAGGUAAAAGAGCAUCUUUAGGACAGAACCUGCAACACAGCUGGCAUGGAGUGCAGCCUGUGAGGCAGCCCUUCAUCCCUUAGGAGUCUGUAGUAAGGAGAAGUCUGGAAAGCCAGAAAUAAAUGUCAGGGAUUUCCCUAAUAAUAGGGUUAC
This 444-nucleotide long non-coding RNA is filed under the name Cyanistes caeruleus (blue tit). RNAcentral's name for it is "lncRNA (ENSCCEG00000013248.1)". The record is from RNAcentral. Lineage: Eukaryota; Metazoa; Chordata; Aves; Passeriformes; Paridae.